GCACAUCCCCUGAAUGCUAAGUGCUUCGCGUUGCAAAUGACGCGGCAGCUCAGCUGCGGCAGAUCACUUUGCUGAAAGGAGUAGAGGAUGAAUCCAUAUUGUGCUCUGACAGAGAAGAAUAUCAAGUAAUCCCAGGAGCAUAGAACACAAUGACUUAGCACUGCAGAGGAAUAUUCCAUGCUGCCUCCAGCAAGCACACUUGCCCAUCGUCAGUCCACCAUCAAUCCCUUGACAUAAUGUCUCCGGAUGUCUCAGAGCUGUUUAGAUGCCCACUGGUGUCCAUUUGAUUGACUGAUGAAUGGCAGCCAAGCUCUCUACUGAACCUGGGUCCUCCUGCCCGUGCAGCACCCGUGACUGGUGGUCUAGUGCUGAGAUUCUAAGGGCCUGUGUAUGUACAAAUACAACAGACUGAAGGGAACACAGUUACCGCCUGGCACAGGAUUAUGAACACUGAGAAUUAGAGUUGUCAAAUCUCUGGGUCCUUAACUCUCCAAUCUUGUUUUUGUUGUCUUCCAACCAUCCCUCAAUCCCAGCAGGAGCCAAGUGCCAGCGCGUCUGACAUACAAAGGAAAAGUUUCUCAUUGUUUCUCAAGCAGAAACAAAGAGUCUUGGAUUGUGGGGGAAAGAAUAAAAUAAUUUAAAGGAAAUAGUCCAAAAUAAAAGGAAAGAGACCAGUUGCUCUGAGAGGGCUGAUAAAAAAGCCCAGAACAAUGGAAGAAAUAGCCAGAGAGAUUAACAAGGGGGAGGAGGGGAGAGACAAUACAGCAGCAGGAGGUAAUGAUGGAAGGUACAAGAGGGAGGCAGAAUGGGGGAGGGGAGUUUCCUACCUAAACCAGGGUGGUUUUUGGCUUGCUCAACCACUUCCCUUUACAAGAAUCCAACCCGCUUCUCUCUUCUCACUUUGAGCACCUGCUAAUCGCAAAAUAAAGGAACCACACCAAUGCCUCAAGCCAAACUGAAAACAGCCGGGGUCCAGUCCUGCAGCCCUUACGUGACUAACCCCAUGCACGCAAUAAGUUACAGGAUCAGGUCCUGUAUUGCUGACAUAUUCCUAAAUGUGAGAGGGGUGUUAUAGGAAAGAGUCCCAGUCAUUUAACGCUGUAACCAUGGGCUUUGUCAGAUGGGUGGGCUGGGGAAUGGGGCAGUCAGGCUCCCUCCUGUCCCCCUCACUUUUCUCUUGUGCUUCCAUACUGAAAGUAGGAGAAGAUGUCCUGUGACUGGUUUCCCCCCUUCUUGGGCAGGGGAAGUCCUUCUUUUCCUCUUCCAUUGUGUUCUGUGGACGUGAAUAAGGAAGGAUUAGUUGGAGAGGGUGAGUUCUCUUGCCUGGUCUCCGAAUUUCCCAGCUUCACACCCACUGACUGGUUCAAUCAGGGGGAGUAAAUGUUAAAGGGGAAGUCUUUCCAAGGUCCACUCUCUACAGCUGAGAUUCCCUGAGGGGGAGGAAGAGUGGUCCAUGGCUAAAGCCCAGGCCUGGGAGGCAGGAAAUGUGGGUUCUGAUCACGCUGAGCCUUAGACUUCCUGUGCCUGAGACUUCACCUCUCUGUUAGAUUCCCCACCUGCAAAAUGGUGAUAAUAGUUACCUACCCCUCAGGGUUGGGGGUGAGGCUGUUCUUUGAGACUGCAGGGUAGAAGGUGCUAUGGGAAUACAAAGCAUGCCUACAUUCAAGCUACUAGAGGUAGCAGGGGCAUAUAGGCUCUACCCACCCAUCAGAGACUUUCAUCAUCAUUGGUACCAUCUGAUUGGCUGUUUUGUCUCAUUAUGAGACUGACUGUUUGGGGGGAUGUCGGGGUGGAUGGAGAAAUCUGGGGCAUGUGGAGAGAUUACAAGAGGCAGGGGAAAGGGGUACUAUAAAAAAUAAUAAUAGUAUGUACCUAACG
Chrysemys picta bellii (western painted turtle) is the source of this 1878-nucleotide non-coding RNA. Lineage: Eukaryota; Metazoa; Chordata; Testudines; Emydidae. The record is from RefSeq and is a predicted model, not a curated record.